UCUAAUACCCUAAUGGAUUAUAUGUACAUGGAUUCUGAAAAGUCAGCAGCACACUUCACUGGUCAAUUUCUAUGAUAAGGGGAACGGAAUUUGAGUGUAGAAAAACAGUAUACUUACAUCUUAAAAUUCCACCCCUACAGAAUCUACUCACUAUUGAAAACUGAGACAGAAACACACAGAGACAAUUCCAUGUGACAACAGUGAAAGAGACCAGAGUGAUGCAGCUGCAAAUCAAAAAACUGCCAACACCAGUGAUUGAUGGCCACCACCAGAAUCUGGUUAAGACAAAGAAGGAUCCUCCCCUUGAGGCGUCAGAAAGAACAUGGCCCUCUCAACACUUUGGGUUUGAACUUCUGGCCUCUAGAGCUGUGAUAAAAUAAAUUUCUGUUCUUUUAAGCUAACAAGUUUGUGGUAUCUUGUCAUGGUAGCCCUAGAGAUGACAGUAUUUGAUUCCUGAGCUGGCAACUGUAUUUUGACUAUGUAAUGACUAUUCCAAGAUAAUCAACAGACACAAAGAUAAAGGCAAAACUGAGACUAAGCCCAGUUCUUUUUAUUCCCAGAAUAAUAAAUGAUUUUUUAAUUAA
Molecule: long non-coding RNA, 584 nt
Organism: Orcinus orca (killer whale)
Lineage: Eukaryota; Metazoa; Chordata; Mammalia; Artiodactyla; Delphinidae
Exons: 2
Source: RefSeq, a predicted model, not a curated record